GAUGAACGCUGGCGGCGUGCCUAAUACAUGCAAGUCGAGCGAACGGACGAGAAGCUUGCUUCUCUGAUGUUAGCGGCGGACGGGUGAGUAACACGUGGAUAACCUACCUAUAAGACUGGGAUAACUUCGGGAAACCGGAGCUAAUACCGGAUAAUAUUUUGAACCGCAUGGUUCAAAAGUGAAAGACGGUCUUGCUGUCACUUAUAGAUGGAUCCGCGCUGCAUUAGCUAGUUGGUAAGGUAACGGCUUACCAAGGCAACGAUGCAUAGCCGACCUGAGAGGGUGAUCGGCCACACUGGAACUGAGACACGGUCCAGACUCCUACGGGAGGCAGCAGUAGGGAAUCUUCCGCAAUGGGCGAAAGCCUGACGGAGCAACUCCGCGUGAGUGAUGAAGGUCUUCGGAUCGUAAAACUCUGUUAUUAGGGAAGAACAUAUGUGUAAGUAACUGUGCACAUCUUGACGGUACCUAAUCAGAAAGCCACGGCUAACUACGUG
RNAcentral lists this ribosomal RNA (497 nucleotides) under uncultured bacterium. Its description in RNAcentral is "partial 16S ribosomal RNA". It matches the Rfam family "Bacterial small subunit ribosomal RNA", at positions 28 to 507 of the family's 1533-position model. The record is from RNAcentral.